Non-coding RNA from Phalacrocorax carbo (great cormorant), 3478 nucleotides. The record is from RefSeq and is a predicted model, not a curated record. NCBI's taxonomy places the organism in Eukaryota, Metazoa, Chordata, Aves, Suliformes, Phalacrocoracidae.
UCUUGCAGCAGCACUGCUCAAGAGCCCUUUGUGUCGUUGGGUAAAAAUGCAGUCUGCAGACCAAACCCAAGCAGAGAACAUGCUUCCGCAGCCUUUGCUAGCGCAGUGCCCAGCAGUUACCCGCUGGGGCACCUCGGAGGCUGCAGCUCCCGCAGCGCUGAGUCGCCGCCCCAGAGCGGGAGCGCUGGGAAGCGCAAUCCCAGCAGCGAGUGCCGGAGCAGAUGCCCACGGACGCGGCAGCUCUGGUGACUCCAGAGGAGCUGCGUGUGCUGCAGCAGCCUGAGGAGGCAGUUCAGCAUACACACGUGCUUGAGAGAUAUUUCCGUAUCCUGAAAUAACAGGAGGCUUGUGAUGCAUCACUUCAUGACUCUGCAGUGCUCUGCGACUCACAGGAUGGAGAACAGAUGUCACCAAAUCAUUGUACACUGACCCAGUCACUGCACAACGAUCCUUCAUUGAAAGCCAAUACAACUGAACUGCGACUUUUUAAGGAAGGAUCCUGGCCCGUAAGAAGAACUGCUUACCUGCUGAAGCGUAACAUCACGCUAGCAAUCCUUCUCUCUGGCAACACUAAUCCUGCUCUGUCUUGCCUGGGCUGCAUGCUGCAGCAGGAGCUAGACAACUGAGCUGUAUGCUGAAAAACCUUGGGAUGUUGAUGUACAGAAUGGUGGGUGGUGUUAUUUAGAUGUAUGGGUAAACAAACAAAUACAGCUGAUUGAAGCUGGAUGGCCAUAGAGGCUCCAGCCUCCCUCCGCACACCCCACCCUUCUCUUGGCAGUUACAGGCUACUCAAAAGGCCAGGCUGGGAAUGGGUGUCUCAGGUGCUGCUUCACACAUCGUUCAGCUCUUGCUGACAGAGACGUAGCAAAUCCGAAGGAAGGCUGCAUCACUUUAGCGUGAUAUUCUCGUUAUUUGGUGGGAUGUUUCAGUCCAGCCAUCAGCAAAUGCCAUUCCUCCUACCCUGCAGCUCUGACUGCCAGCUCAGAGAACUUGAUUGCUUACGAACACAGAGGGGCUGGCACACAAAAAUGCUCCUACUUCACCAAUCAACACAUCUUACCUCAUAUAUUUCAGGCCCACAAGAUACGUAAUUAAACUUGAAGGUUUCUUGAAGACUGUGCAGCCAUCUAGUGUUAUUGCAUAUAUAGCAUGCUGGUUACCCGCAGGGACCCCAGAUCACUUCAGUGCUUUCUUCCUUCAUGACUCCCAGCUGGAUAUUUAACUCUAAGUUAGAGGAGAUUUAGUUAAAAUGCCAAUCCACUGAUCUUGAUGAUCUUUGAAAUUUCUGACCACCUGAAGAUUGUGCUUGUGGAUGGCGGAGAGGACCCUGCCGCUGUAUUUCUUUUAGCCAUAGCAAGUAUGGGUUGGUGCUCUCGGGAAGAGCAACCAGGGUGCCUGUGGCUGCUACUGCUGUGCUUUAGCAGUCAUUGAUUCUUAAGCAAAAAAAAAAAAAAAAGGAAAAAAGAAAAAACCUAAAUUUAAAUUUGAAGAUCAGUGAGCAAACUUCAGGGAUUCCACUGCUAUCUGCCACAGCUUUUUGGAGACUUUCUCAUUUGCUUAGGAAUAGGAAAGCCUUGUACAUAUAUUGUGGGUGAGUAAGAUGAGGGCAAAACAGCCUGAAUCUGUCUCACUUUUCUCAUCUAGAGAAAACCAUCUAAUUUCAAAGUUCCAGAUUCCUUUUUGGUCAUUCAGCACACAGGGGUAUUAGUACAAGGAACUAUAGUUUGUAGUAAAUUAGUUAGGCAACCGGUGCAGGCAAGGAGCAUGAUGAAACGACAUGCAUUCUUGUAUUGCAUACCAGAGUGACAAGUAAAUCUCAAAGGUGACAACCCAGGGCUACUGCGAUUUAGCAGCAGCCACUUGGCCAACCUGAGAACAGAACCGUCUUUGUUUACAAUCUGCAUUUUUCUAACUCUUAUCUGCUCUUUUGCACCGUAAUUUCCCCCAGCCCCCCCUGUGCCACUAGGUUCAUCUUUCUCCACGCCUCGCAUUACACUGUUAAGUGUCCAGGUGUGUUAUGAGGGACUUUCAUCUUCUGAAACAAAAGGUGACGAACUGGUAACUUUCUGCACUGCAGUAACAAGUCACUGACUGCGGAGGUAAAAGAAAUUGCCACUGGAUACUAGCGACAUGUUACAACCUCUUUGCCUGGGCUAAGCAGUGAAUGGAGAUUUAUGCCAUGGAGACACAUCAUUUUCUGGAUCCUGUUACACUUAUGGAAGGUGUUACAUUUAACAUCCUUUGCUGGUGGAAACAGCCCUGUUCCCAACCCCUAAGAAUCUACCCCAUGAAAAAUUUACAUAAACAUUGCCUUAUUCCCCUCGUUACCUCAGACCAUUAAUAUCAAAUACUGAAGUCUCAGUCUUGAGAGCAGUUGGAGAGGAGCAGUGACAAGCAGCACUUACUCAUUCCACAGUAACAGCUGGAUCUGGAGGAGGCUGGUUGUUGGCACCCUACUCACAUAUGCUAAGCCAGGAUAAGUGCCGUUGUCUGCAAGCGUGGACAUGAAUCUUUUGCACACUCCCCUUCUAAGUGUCUGCCUGUCUGUGGGAUGUUAAAAACAGACUAUGGUAUGUGCCCAGCAGGCUCCAGCCACAACUGACUGAUCUGGUAGCAUUUACCUAGAAGAGUUUUUUAAAAGGCAUGUUUCACAGAGUCUUUCACUGCAUCAAAUAUUGUGGGUAUUGGAUCUCUGAAUGUCACCAAAGAGAUGGCUAAUGAUUUACCAUUCUGUCAUUUACUUCUGAUGACUUUUACCAAUAAACGGGGAAACUAAUAUUCCAGCCCUAAAUCACAUCUAGUCGAACACAGAAACAUGCUGUACACAAAGGGAAAUACUCCCCUAGAAGGUACCAGAGCUGCUCUCCUGUCCCAGGGCAUCGCAGGCGGUCCUGGGCCGGCGGUUGACGCAGCCACAGCAGCGGUGGUGGGAGGGAGGGUCUCUCCCUGCAAAAAUCCAUGGCAAUCGUGAUGCUGAGCGGUCCCCAGGGAACCACAACUCCACGACCCACCAGCAAACCCCCUCCUACCCCAACCAGCUUACAGACAAGGUGAUGGGCAGAGCAGGAAAUGGCUGAACCAAAAAUGCCUGAUUUAAUGAUCAUCUGAGGUAAGGUGGUGCAUGUCCCACUGUCUCACAAUUCUAAAAAUGGUUUUAAUGAUAUUACAAAAUAACAAGUAUGGCUACGGAGGGAGGUGGAACAUUUGUAUGCUGUUACGUGUUUUAGUGAGUGGCUUAUUUUCUUUGGAUAAGAGGUAUAAAUUCUGCUCCUUAUAACUUCUGGGCAGGACAGAUCUUAUGGUGUUUUUAAAAGAAGAUAUUAACAGUUAUAUAUCCUAGCGAAAAUCUUUGCAAUUUUGUUUUCCCAAGUGCUUCUAAAGUUCUAGUUACACCUUCGUCCCUGCUUCCUGCCUGCAACUGGUGUUGGGAGCCACUUAAGCCACCACCAUAUUCCAUCUUGGAUGCAUUUCAGUUGUC